This is a long non-coding RNA of Cyprinus carpio carpio, 1374 nucleotides long. The record is from Ensembl. NCBI's taxonomy places the organism in Eukaryota, Metazoa, Chordata, Actinopteri, Cypriniformes, Cyprinidae.
AUGUGGACCCUGAAGCCUCAAAUGUGGCAUGUUACUUAAAGUUACACUAAAUUACACAUAAUCCAGCUUUUAUGAAACUUGACUCUAACUUCAAUAACAUGUAACAUUUAUAAGUCCAUUAAAACAAGAGUUCCCUCUAGAACUUUCACGUGACAUCACAGAGAUAUUUCUCUGUUAUUGGAACUCCUUCCCUUCCAACCUUUCCUGAAGUCCUAUUGGCUUACGCCAGUCAAUGACUGGCCAAUUGACGCAAAGUAUAAUAUCUCUGUGAUGUCUCGUUCCCGCUCUCAGGGCGUUUUGCAACCCUCCUUUCCCCCAUCCCAUUCCCAUUUGAAUAUAAACACCAUCCCCAGCAUCCUGAUCCAAUUGAGUAUGAACAGCAGAGGUGUCUCAGGUGUCACGUCUAUAUGUUUGUGUUUUGACUUGGCAAACACAUAGAUCCUCCCUUUAGCACUACAAAUAGUCCUUCCCAUGUCAGCAUUUUCUUCCCUCCUAGAAUGUAAGCCAUCUGUUGUUUUAUUAUAACCGUUCGCCUAAAUAUAGGCUCUCGCUUUCAAACACGGUCGCCCAGUGACACAGCCACACCCUGGCUUUUGAAUUCGUUCAUCUAGCUCAUCUUCCCAUAUAAAUAUGGACCGCUUUGCCUCAUAAUACCACCAGCGUUUCUCGCUGCCUCCCUCUUUCUCUCCCCAUUCACAGAAACACUGAAUGACGGAUGUGUCAUUGAUGAAGAUGAUGAUGGUGAUUGUGCUGAAGAAGACAGUGAUGAUUCAGAGGCGCUCUGAGCUGUAACAUCCCCCUCAUUCCCUGUGAGUCAGCUCUCCUCACACCCCCCACCCACCUCCUCUCCGGCUCCCUGUCUUCCCACGAGCUGGACACCGGCAGUAAGACCCUACAGCUGCGACCACACGGGGGGAGAUGAUGAUGACGACGAAGUCAUCCGGUGGGGACAUGAGGCAACUAUCCUGGCAGUAUGUGUUUUUAAUGUCCAGUCACGAAAUGAAACCGAGGCGAAAAGCUGUGUGAAAUGAAUCUCAUCGCUGUGAGUGUGCUCUAGAGAAAAGCAAUGAUCUGCUCUCUGACUUCUGUCAAACGCUGCAGGUUUGAUUUUCUUGUAUGGGAGAAAGAGGCUGAGAGAAAAGGCUUGUUUUGUGUGUUUGGGGAGAGAAUAUUUGCAUUUGUUUUCAAUUCUCUAAUGUCAAGCUCCAUUGCAAUGCCUAUAGGGCUAUGGGCUGAGAGGAUCUGAAGUUGAGCUCUGCUUCACUGGAGUCAGCUGCCCUCAGAGGCUCGUCUCCUGAGACACUCGAGAAGAACUACACACCACACACCCCUCAUCGUGACGAAUGAAGAAAUCCUUCUGUCAAUACACUGCAG